Molecule: long non-coding RNA, 2068 nt
Organism: Cercocebus atys (sooty mangabey)
Lineage: Eukaryota; Metazoa; Chordata; Mammalia; Primates; Cercopithecidae
Exons: 3
Source: RefSeq, a predicted model, not a curated record
GUUUGUGUCUGGCCUUUCUCCUACUCCAAGACCGGCUCCACUUCGGGGCUCGCUGCCAUGGAGACGGCUCCGGAUUUAGGAAUACAUUUCCUAGGCUUCCGCAACUAACGUUGUUGUCCCACCUCCAAGAAGAAUGAGGUUAUGGUGACAAUCGAAGGGUGAGGACGGCAGAGAAGAAUUUUAUUGAGUGACAAAACAGCUCUCAGCUGAAGAUGAUGUGAGGGUGGUCCCCCACCUGAAGCUGGGUGGUCUCUUUCUUAAUGUGGUUGGGUCCAGGGCUUUUAUGGGCUCAGAAUGGGGAGUGCACUCUCAUUGGUUUGUGAGUAAGCAAUAAAGGCUAAAACAAAACCACCACUCAAAGGUGGGCAUGAUAGUGUAAAAAAACCAAUUAAGGAAGGGUAGGUGUAUGGAAAAUAGGUGAAGGGUGAGGAUCAGUCAGAGGAAGGUGUCCCAAACAGGAGGGGAGGUUCUCAAUCCAGUCCAAGGAUUUACCUGGGACUUGUUGCUAGCCUUUAAACUGUCUUUGGCUUAAAGGUGGGGUUUCACUGGGGGCCUGUCCCUAUCUGCCUAGGCAUUUUACUGCCUCCUGCUGCUAUUACCAGCCAUUCAGGAGUUGCAGUGAGCUGUGAUUCUCCUAUUGCACUCCAUCCUGGGUGACAGAGUAAGACCUUGUCUCAAUAAAUAAAUAAAAAUAACAUCUGGCAGGGUUAGUGAUUAUGCUUCUGAUAGUGACAUGAGGCAGUCAAAUGCCUAGGCAGAUAGGGGUGGGUCCCUGGUGAAACCCCACCUCCAAGCAGAAGACAGUUUAAAGCCUGAAAAUGAAGCUACAAGUUAAAUCCUCAGACCAGACUGAGAAUCUUUCCUCUGAUUGAUCCCCACCCUUCACCUGUCUUACCCUUCACCUUUCCUAAUUGGUUUUCUACACUGUCGUGCCCACCUUUCAGUGAUGUCUUCACUUUAACCUUUUUUGCAUACUCACAAACCAAUCAGCAGGCACUCCCCAUUCUGAGUCCAUAAAAAGCCCUGGACCCAGCCACACUGAGAGAAGAAAAAACCACCCCACUGCAGGGGUGGGGAACCACCCGACCGCACCCUGCAUCCCUUCUCCGCCAAGAGCUGUUUCAUCAGUCAAUAAAGUUCUUCUCCAUCCAUUCUCACCCUUCAACUGGCAGCAUAUUCUUCUUGGAUGCAAGACAAGAGUUCUGGAACCGCCAAACUCAGGUACUGAACCCCACCACUUGCAUAUGAGUAGUGGGCUGAGACAAUGCUUUGGAGCAACUGACAACCACUCCUGGGCUUUAAGGCCUCAGUUUAUAGUCUUCAGCAAGACUUCUGAAUAAACUAGCUUUAAUUAUUUAAAAGCUUGAUUUUUUUUUUUCUUUAGUUCACAUGUCCCUGGAUCACUCAAUGUGUUUUUUUGGUCCGCCUGGAACAAGAUGAGGUGGGACUAGCCUUUCAGGAGGAGUUAUUCUGGAGUCCUUGGGGGUAACCUCACCCUCUGUGGCCCCUUUGAUAGGUGGGUAGUAGGAUUGGGGAGCGUGGAAAGUGGGGACUCCCUUGCUCAAUAACAAUUAUUGCAUCUCCAGCUGGGAGCUAACACUUGUAGGACGGUUCCUUGGGAAGGCCCUGAGCUACCAGACUCCACCUGCAACCUUCUGAUCAGAGAAGAGGACCAGAGCUUCCUCUAGAGAGAUCCAGGGUUUUAUCUUAAGAAUGGAUUAAUUGCACUAUGCUGUGCAAUGUGAUGCGCAGUGCAAGGCAAUAGAAGCAAAUAGUUUAGUCCUAAGAGAACCCCCCCACCCCAUGCUUCUGAGGGACUCCUAUGAGAGGCCUUGGCUAUUUGGAGAAGAAAGAAGGUCUAAAACAAAUAGGGCAUUUUUUUCUCUCUUGAGGGUUGACGACAUCGAAUUCAGAUGCAAGUUUGCAAGUUGUACACCUGCCACAUUUAGCAGAAAACUGCUGACCCAGGCAGCUGAUCUAAAAUUCAUUCAAAUCAGCAAGUUCAUUAUGCAUAGCUUCCUUGUUUUUGGAAGUGGAAAGCCAGAGUCUUGGUGUAAACUAGGUUCCU